Molecule: ribosomal RNA, 467 nt
Filed under: uncultured bacterium
Lineage: Bacteria
Description: partial 16S ribosomal RNA
Rfam family: Bacterial small subunit ribosomal RNA
Source: RNAcentral
GACGAACGCUGGCGGCGUGCUUAACACAUGCAAGUCGAACGGAAAGGCACUGCUUUUGUGGGGUGCUCGAGUGGCGAACGGGUGAGUAACACGUGAGUAACCUGCCCUUGACUUUGGGAUAACUUCAGGAAACUGGGGCUAAUACCGGAUAGGAGCUCCUGCUGCAUGGAGGGGGUGGGAAAGUUUCGGCGGUUGGGGAUGGACUCGCGGCUUAUCAGCUUGUUGGUGGGGUAGUGGCUUACCAAGGCUUUGACGGGUAGCCGGCCUGGGAGGGUGACCGGCCCCAUUGGGACUGGGAUGCGGCCCAGGCUCAUUCGGGGGGCAGGAGUGGGGAAUAUUGCACGAUGGGCGGAGGCCUGAUGCAGCACCGCCGCGUGCGGGAUGACGGCCUUCGGGUUGUAAACCGCUUUCGCCUGUGACGAGGCGUGAGUGACGGUAAUGGGUAAAGAAGCACCGGCUAACUACGU